Molecule: ribosomal RNA, 357 nt
Filed under: Triticum aestivum (bread wheat)
Lineage: Eukaryota; Viridiplantae; Streptophyta; Magnoliopsida; Poales; Poaceae
Description: partial small subunit ribosomal RNA
Source: RNAcentral
AUGACAACAUAUUCAGUAUUCACUGUGAGAUUAGCCCUCCGAAGUAGUGCCUUAUAUAAAGGAAUGGAACAUUUGAGAUUUUAUAAUUUGCAUGCGGAGCCAACCACUUAUGACCAUAUGUCUAGAAUUCACACUUCGGAAAUACAUUUUAAGAUGCUUUAUUACUUAAAGGGUUUAAGCAUUACACCCGACCUCUGCAUAACUGAGAUGCACACAGCCAUAACCAAGUCCAAGUUCCAAAGAAUCGAAAAAGGCGGAAUACAAGAGACAUGCAUAUUAAUAAAACUACUAACUAGUGGCCCGGAUCAUCUCCUAAUAAAUAAAUCUAGGAACAAAAUGGAAGAGAAUAUGCCAUAA